UAUGAUCAGUUUCAUUUGCUUUGGUAUUUUCUUUGAAGGGAUGAAUUUUGAAGCAUCUGGUUGGGUCUAUGUCCAGAACAAUGUCGGCGAAGGCUCUGAUUUUGGAUAGAAAGCUUAUCAAAGUUAUUAAGGUUCAAAGUCUCCGUCUGAUCAUACUAAUUUUGUGGCGUCCAUGCUGUAUGGACUUAUUCAGUUUUCCACGGGUGCUUGUUCCAGUUUAGAGCAAUCCAACUAAGGACUGUGUAAUCAAAACUGUUAGAGAAUCCAAGUUCUUGAGCUGGGAAGGCAGGAGGGAUUGUCUGAUUCUUUUAUUUUCAAGGAUUAGAGGAGAUGCGAUGAACAUAUAGUUCUCUCAUGUUGUGAGUUGGAGUCCUUUUGUUGCAGAUCUUUUUGAAUUCGACCUGGUUUGUGUUGUAGUGUAUUUGAGUUAGCAAGCUUUUGCUUUUUGCUUCUCCUGGGGUAUUUUUCGUACAAGUGGUUUAUGUCAUGCUCUCUAUCUUUGUCUACAAACCUCACUGGAUAAAACUUCAAUUACUACAAUUGAGCCUUGUGUCCAAGGCUAAGUCUUGUUGUUGGUUAGGUUGGUCAUAUGUGGCUACUUUUUGCUGCUUCUGGGGUAUUUUUGGUAUAAUUGGUUAAUUUUGGGUGCCAGUUCAAGUCUCUCUUUGAUAAUGUCGUCCUCUCAUCUUUUCUGUGAACUUCACUGGAUGAAACUCCUAUUGAGUCCUGUUUCAAGGCUAACUCUAGUGGUUGCUUUGCUGGUGGCACAUGGAUGGCAGUUUGGCUUGUCAGAUGCUUCUAGCUUUACCCCUGUGAGAUGAGAAACUGAUUGCAGAUAUUCACCAACAUCAUGGCAGAUUAUUCGUUUCUACUUUCAAUUGGUUUGUUGCCGUCCGUAGAAGCUCUCUUGUGGAUUCUCUUUAUAUUGAAGUUCCAGUUGAUAUUACUCGCCUGACAAAUUAGUUUUAUAUUGCUUGUGUUUUGGAAUCAAAAGUUACUUGGCCACGAGCUCACACAAUCCCUCUACAUGGAUUCACCCCUGAUUCUCCCCAUAAUUCUUACUCUAUCAAGAACGAGUCGAUUUACUUGGCCUUUUCUUUCUUUGCCAUCAAGUCAUUCGUGUGGUUGAAUUAUCCAAAAAAUGUUGUUCCUACUAAAGGCUAAGUAGUAGAAUAAAUCCCAACCUUCUAAUGAGUGCAUAAUUUCAUCCUGAUAUUUAAUCUUAUCAUAAAAAGAUCCAACUGUUUAAAUUUGUUUCAAAGUUAUUUGCCAAGUCCUUUAAUGCCUGCAGUGGCGUCUGGCGAUAUCGUUCGUCUUCUCGAUUGAGAGCUUUCUCCUUCGGCCCGUCUCCCUUUUCUAAUUCCGUUUCUCGAUUGACUGAUUGUUGAUGGGGGCCUGAUAGCUAUCUCGGUCUUGAUUUUGUGGAAGCAUCAUCUGGUUGCAGAGACCCACCCACACCCCUGUUGCGCGGAGAUUCUCGAGGGGUUCGCUUGGCCUACGAUCUCUGUCGGCGUCUGGCGAUAUCGUCGUCUUCCAGAGAGAAGUAGCGAUCCCGAUUUGACUGUUGAUGCGGAGAUUUUUCAGGCUCAUUAUGGAAUCGUGUUGUUCGGUGGAUGGGCAGUGCGCGGCUUCUUUCCUUCCUCUUGGAUCAUAUCUCUUGAGGAUGCCGUGAUGCCGUAAUGGGAGUGUUUGGUUUAGCUCCUCCUUUGACCCUUUAUUAAUACAAUGCCCGAUCGAUCUUUCUGUACAAUUGUUUCACGAGCUGUUUCUGGAUUUUGUUAUUUGGUGAAUCCGCAGUAGAUCCUUUCCCCUUGGAGCGAAAUUGUUUGUUUGAGGAUGUCAAGGACGAUGAACAUCUUGUUUCAUAAAACACAGGUUGGAGUUUUGCUAGGCUGAAAUUUGCUGGUCUAGUCCCGACAGGUUGGAGUUUUGCUAGA
Molecule: long non-coding RNA, 1937 nt
Organism: Eucalyptus grandis
Lineage: Eukaryota; Viridiplantae; Streptophyta; Magnoliopsida; Myrtales; Myrtaceae
Exons: 3
Source: RefSeq, a predicted model, not a curated record